This 235-nucleotide ribosomal RNA is filed under the name uncultured bacterium. RNAcentral describes it as "partial 16S ribosomal RNA". It matches the Rfam family "Bacterial small subunit ribosomal RNA", at positions 1269 to 1500 of the family's 1533-position model. The record is from RNAcentral.
AAAACUCAAAAACUUAGUCUCAGUUCGGAUUGUUAGGCUGAAACUCGCCUACAUGAAGCUGGAGUUGCUAGUAAUCGCGAAUCAGCAUGUCGCGGUGAAUACGUUCCCGGGCCUUGUACACACCGCCCGUCACACCAUGAGAGUUGGCAAUACCCAACGUACGUGAUCUAACCCGCAAGGGAGGAAGCGUCCUAAGGUAGGGUCAGCGAUUGGGGUGAAGUCGUAACAAGGUAGC